Molecule: ribosomal RNA, 416 nt
Filed under: uncultured eukaryote
Lineage: Eukaryota
Description: bacterial SSU rRNA
Rfam family: Eukaryotic small subunit ribosomal RNA
Source: RNAcentral
CAAUAGCGUAUAUUAAUGUUGUUGCAGUUAAAAGCUCGUAGUUGGAUUUCUGGUGGGAGUGGCCGGUCCGCCGUAAGGUGUGUACUUGGUUGUCUCCCGUCAUCCUUGUGGGAACUGCUCUGGCAUUAAGUUGUCGGGUUAGGGAACACAUCGUCUACUGUGAAAAAAUUAGAGUGUUCAAAGCAGGCGUUUUGCUUGAAUAUAUUAGCAUGGAAUAAUGGAAUAGGACGCUGGUUCUAUUUUGUUGGUUUGAGAACCAGAGUAAUGAUUAAUAGGGACAGUGGGGGCAUUCAUAUUUCAUUGUCAGAGGUGAAAUUCUUGGAUUUAUGAAAGAUGAACUUCUGCGAAAGCAUUUGCCAAGGAUGUUUUCAUUAAUCAAGAACGAAAGUAAGGGGAUCGAAGACGAUUAGAUACCA